This 426-nucleotide ribosomal RNA is filed under the name uncultured eukaryote. RNAcentral describes it as "SSU rRNA". It matches the Rfam family "Eukaryotic small subunit ribosomal RNA", at positions 592 to 1018 of the family's 1831-position model. The record is from RNAcentral.
CAAUAGCGUAUAUUAAAGUUGUUGCGGUUAAAAAGCUCGUAGUUGGAUCUCGGCAAGCAGGGGCCGGUUCGCUCCAUAGCGUUACUGGCCCAUUUGCUUGUGUGAUUGGCGGAGGUUUCGGGGUGCUCUUUACUGAGUGUCCCGGGGCGCCGUCAGGUUUACUUUGAAAAAAUUAGAGUGCUCAAAGCAAGCUUUUCACGCUUGAAUAUUCGUGCAUGGAAUAAUAGAAUAGGAACUCGUUUCUAUUUUGUUGGUUUUCGGAAAUCGAGUUAAUGAUUAAUAGGGACAAUUGGGGGCAUUAGUAUUCAGGCGACAGAGGUGAAAUUCUUGGACCGUCUGAAGACUAACUACUGCGAAAGCAUUUGCCAAGAGUGUUUUCAUUAAUCAAGAACGAAAGUUAGAGGUUCAAAGACGAUUAGAUACCGU